RNAcentral lists this long non-coding RNA (1306 nucleotides) under Numida meleagris (helmeted guineafowl). Its description in RNAcentral is "lncRNA (ENSNMEG00000020553.1)". Lineage: Eukaryota; Metazoa; Chordata; Aves; Galliformes; Numididae. The record is from RNAcentral.
AGCUCCAGGUGGAAAGCAGGUGUGGCCUCCGCCCAUAUCACAUGCAUUUGUGAUAGAGGUGCUAGAAGGCUUUCAUUUGUUUUUUUCAUUUUUCAUUGUUUUUUUCAUUUGUUUUUGCUCCUUAGUGGAUUUUGUGUCAGCAGCAUGUGGGAUUUCCUUUGGUCACUUAACAUCAUCUUAUCAUCUGGACACCAGCACUCAGAACAGCACGGCAGCUCUACUUCAUGGCUUCUACUUCAUGGCUGCAGGACUGCCAGCUGAAAAUUCAUCUGAAAUGUGACUACAGCAGUGCAAAUGCUCAGCUUGGCUCCUCAUGUGCAAAAGGGAAGGGGAAAAGCGGUUGACCUAAACUCACAUUAAGACUUGCCCUGCAGUUGCACGUAGAGAGCUAAAAUAGCUCCCGUUGUUGUCUUACAAUGGUUGUGUGGUUCAACAACAGAUGGAUUUCCAUACAGCCAUAGAGCUGAGGGAGGUGUGGGUUGUGCAACAGUGCAGUUAUUUAUCCUACAUUUGCUCUUGCAUGUAGAGGGUAUUUCAAAUUAUUCCAAAUUACUAACAGAUACCAAAGAAGCAAUACUGUGGUGAGGUACAAAACCAGUUCAAGGGGUAAAGGCUUUGCCAGGCAACUGGGUAAUUUGAGUUAUUGCCUGCCUGCUUGGGAGCCUGAAGGAGCAACGCACAGUCUAAGUCAGUGUAAAGUAAAGCAUAAUUUAAUGUGAAAUCAAGGGCUUGAAACUGCACUUUCUGCACAGAAUUAAUAACUGCGGGUGUAGCUUUUUAUCUGGGGAAGAAUAAUAUAAUUUGCUUUGUUCCCAAUCCUAAAUAUGUUAAUAAUGUGAUUUUUUUGCAUUAGCAUGUAAAAAUGUCAGGGAAUAAUUUGCAAGUAAUAUGUAAUGGAUGGUCCUGAGCUUUUAAAUUGCUUGAGGCUAGAACGUCAUUGUAUUUUUAUAAAAGAGGUUGGUAGCUAGGGAAAAAGGAGAUUCAUUAGGUUAGGAAAUAUAUCUCCAGAUAAACUAAAUUGUGUUUAACUUGGCCACUUGAAUACCAGUAACAUUUGAAAAACAAAAGACAGCAGUAACAAAUAGAUUAUUUAUGCACAUCUAUUUGGUGGAAAAGAGAGAAGAAGAGAGUUUGGGGUUUGUUUUUCAUUUGCAAUGCUUGCAAGCUCAGUGAAAACUAAAAUGAGAUAUGAUAUUCUAAGAGAUCCGGUGUACUGUUUUAACUUGUGAAAUCUUUAUUGAAGGUGAAUAGACAGAAAAUGCACAUCAAAAUACACAGUUUCCCAGAGAAACAUGCCAUGACAUGA